ACUUACAUGUACUUGAAUGAACUAAGGGUGCCUUUGUUUGCAAGGAUUUGAUUUUCCAGAAAAUAUUUUUCUAAUUUUACGGUGUUUGGUUGCUUGAAAAUAAAUUAUAUGGGUAAAAGAUUUUCCAAAACAAGGUAAAUUAUGUGAGUUUUUUUAGGGAAAAUGUGUUACAGAUUUUUAAUCGGUAAGACAUUUUCUGAAAAAUCUUCCUCCACUCUCACCAUCCGUUCUUCAUCCUUUCUGUAAGAUUUUCUAAAAAACGGUUGGCUCAUCCAGGAGGACCUGUUUAAGUACUCUUUUAUUCUCCCUUCUUCAUCUGUUCUGUAAGAUUGGCUGUCAAUAACGCUUAAAGCUACCUUCUUUCAAAGCACUUAUCGGAGACAAACAUGCGACAUCACAACGAGGAGAUAUGUGACAUUGCGACAACGUAACGAGCAAGGGACGACGUCACAACAAGGGUCGUCGGGACUAAGUGACAAUCUCUUGAGGCAAGACCAGGGGCGAUGUGACGAAGAGAGUCGUGACAUCACGACGAUAUCUCCCCUAAUGUAGCCGUGUUUUAGACUCCAAGUAAGACUUUUUCUCCCAGUUGGACUCUAAUUACUUCAGGGUUAUUUUAGUAUGAUUAGACCUCUAAUUUUAGCCUAUAUAGGGCCUUUGCAACCCUGAUUCAGACAUGCCAAUCAAUAAAGGCUUUUCUUGAUGGCAACAUGUAACACCUUAUACCUGACCCGAUCGCUGAGUUCGGUUACCAAAUGUCACAAUUAACUUGAGUUACUUAACAAUAUUUUUAAUUAAAUUUAUUUACAAACUUAA
Gossypium arboreum is the source of this 816-nucleotide long non-coding RNA. RefSeq lists it as uncharacterized. The record is from RefSeq and is a predicted model, not a curated record. The transcript is spliced from 3 exons. NCBI's taxonomy places the organism in Eukaryota, Viridiplantae, Streptophyta, Magnoliopsida, Malvales, Malvaceae.